RNAcentral lists this ribosomal RNA (464 nucleotides) under uncultured bacterium. RNAcentral's name for it is "partial 16S ribosomal RNA". It matches the Rfam family "Bacterial small subunit ribosomal RNA", at positions 339 to 795 of the family's 1533-position model. The record is from RNAcentral.
CUACGGGUCGCUCCAGUGGGGAAUAUUGCACAAUGGGCGCAAGCCUGAUGCAGCCAUGCCGCGUGUAUGAAGAAGGCCUUCGGGUUGUAAAGUACUUUCAGCGGGGAGGAAGGGAGUAAAGUUAAUACCUUUGCUCAUUGACGUUACCCGCAGAAGAAGCACCGGCUAACUCCGUGCCAGCAGCCGCGGUAAUACGGAGGGUGCAAGCGUUAAUCGGAAUUACUGGGCGUAAAGCGCACGCAGGCGGUUUGUUAAGUCAGAUGUGAAGUCCCCGGGCUCAACCUGGGAACUGCAUCUGAUACUGGCAAGCUUGAGUCUCGUAGAGGGGGGUAGAAUUCCAGGUGUAGCGGUGAAAUGCAUAGAGAUCUGGAGGAAUACCGGUGGCGAAGGCGGCCCCCUGGACGAAGACUGACGCUCAGGUGCGAAAGCGUGGGGAGCAAACAGGAUUAGAUACCCCCGUAGUC